UGGCAUUAAUCCCUGAGUAGCUUCCUGGUCCCAGCUGCUGGGCUGGGGGACAUCGCCCACUCUCCAAGCUGCUCACAUACAUUAGUAGCCGCUGGAGAUGGGUGGGGGCUUCUCAGCUUCACAGGGGCAAGGUGCAGUGGCAGAGUAGGCCUUGCCCAUGAACCGCCAGGGUCCCCUAGCCGAGAUGAGUUCCCUCUGGCAGGCUGUGGAAGGAUCAUCCCUCCCUGGGUGCGUGACCCCCAGCCCCGCCCGACCUCAGGUCUAUCCCGGGGCCUCCCCUCCCACCUCCGAGCUCUGGGUCCCCCGCUGUAAAAAGCCUGCAAGGCUGGCUCAGAGUCUGGUCCCAGGGCAACUGUGGGGUUGGCCGUGGCCCCACCCUACUGGGUCUCACUCACUCUCAGCUCACCUCAAAGCCCUGAGGUGGGAGUCCUGUGUAGCCCCUUUCUGUGCCAGAGCACACCCAGACUUUUCUCUUCCAGCCUGGGGCUCAUCGUCUGAGGGCAGGGCUGCCUUUAAGACAUCGUGGGGUUCGGCCACCCCAGUGCAAGCUGCCCCCACCACGGCCCCUCUUCAGGCCCAGGGGUGAAUGGCUGCUUGUACCAGGACCUGCCUCUUCUGGACAUUUCGUAUAAAUGGAAUCGUGUAAUAUGUGGCCUUUCGAGCUGGGCUUCCUUCACUCAACGUCAUGUUUCCAAGAUCCAUCCCCAUUGAAGCUGGUGUCGGAGCCUCACUGCUUUCUGCGGGUGGGCUGGACCUGGUGACUUGCUUCUACCUGAUAGAAUACAGCAAGAGUGAUGAGAUGUCACUUCCGAGAUUAGGUUGGACGGAUGGUGACUUCCAGCUUGUUAGUCUUCUCUCGGGCUCUUCUUGUUUGCUUGCUCUGGUGAAGCCAGCCACCAUAUGGUGAGUUGCCCUGUGGAGAGGCCCAUAUGGCAGGGAGCUGAGGGAGGCCUUUGGGUAACAGCCUCUGAGAAACUGAGGCCCUCAGUUCAGUAGCUAGUGAAGAGCUCAAUCCAGCCCACAGCCACUGAGCAAGCUUGGAAGAGGACCCUUCCCUGGGGCAGCUUUGUGCUAUUGUAAUAUAAUAAAGAGUGUAUAUCUGGUUUUCAUCUAGGGUUCCUGGCAUAGAGUUUCUAAAACCACUGGAAUUUCCUAAGUAAAAGGGGUGAGAGAAGUGUCUUUUGUUACUCAUAAUAAGCCCCCUUCAACCAUACUUGAGUUUAUUCUAAUGAGGUGACUCAUGGAGGUUGGGGGCUGGUAGCCAGAGGAACCAACCACGUGAUUGAGGGUUGCAACUUUCAGCCUCACCCCCAACCUCCAGGGAGGAGAGAGGGGCCAGAGAUUGAGUUCAAUCACCCAUGGCCAAUGAUUCAGCCAAGCAUGACUAUGUGAUGGAACCUCCAUAAAAACAUUGGGUCUCAUGAGAACAACAGAAUACAGAGAGCUGGUUUGGUGGACAUAUGGAGGCUCUGGGAGGGUGGUGGGCCCAGAGAGGGCAUGGAGCCCCUCUCCCAUACCUCGAUUAUACAUCUCUUCGAUUUGGCUUUUCCUGAGUUGUAUCCAUUA
This 1566-nucleotide long non-coding RNA is filed under the name Homo sapiens (human). RNAcentral describes it as "HSALNT0363540". Lineage: Eukaryota; Metazoa; Chordata; Mammalia; Primates; Hominidae. The record is from RNAcentral.